AGAGUUUGAUCAUGGCUCAGAACGAACGCUGGCGGCGUGCUUAACACAUGCAAGUCGAACGAGAAAGAGUUCUUCGGAACUUGAGUAAAGUGGCGCACGGGUGAGUAACGCGUAGAUAACCUGUCCUGGUGUCAGGGAUAACCCUUCGAAAGGGGGACUAAUACCUGAUACGCUGAUCAUUCACAAGAGUGAUCAUGAAAGGUGGCCUCUAUUUAUAAGCUACCGCAUUUGGAGGGGUCUGCGUACCAUUAGCUAGUUGGUGGGGUAAAAGCCUACCAAGGCUACGAUGGUUAGCGGGUCUGAGAGGAUGAUCCGUCACACUGGCACUGAAACACGGGCCAGACUCCUACGGGAGGCAGCAGUGAGGAAUAUUGCGCAAUGGGGGAAACCCUGACGCAGCGACGCCGCGUGAGUGAGGAAGGCCUUAGGGUCGUAAAACUCUGUCAGAAGGGAAGAAAUGUUAACAGGUUAAUACCCUGUUGAUUUGACGGUACCUUCAAAGGAAGCACCGGCUAACUCCGUGCCAGCAGCCGCGGUAAUACGGAAGGGUGCAAGCGUUGUUCCGAAUCACUGGGGCGUAAAGGGCGCGCAGGCGGUUU
RNAcentral lists this ribosomal RNA (599 nucleotides) under uncultured delta proteobacterium. RNAcentral describes it as "bacterial SSU rRNA". It matches the Rfam family "Bacterial small subunit ribosomal RNA", at positions 8 to 581 of the family's 1533-position model. Lineage: Bacteria; Deltaproteobacteria. The record is from RNAcentral.